CUAGGCAAUGGGACAAAAUCA
This 21-nucleotide microRNA is filed under the name Bombyx mori (domestic silkworm). RNAcentral describes it as "bmo-miR-3308-3p". Lineage: Eukaryota; Metazoa; Arthropoda; Insecta; Lepidoptera; Bombycidae. The record is from miRBase by way of RNAcentral.